Molecule: small nuclear RNA, 165 nt
Organism: Mastomys coucha (southern multimammate mouse)
Lineage: Eukaryota; Metazoa; Chordata; Mammalia; Rodentia; Muridae
Product: U1 spliceosomal RNA
Exons: 1
Source: RefSeq, a predicted model, not a curated record
AGAACUACCUGGCAGGGGAGAUACCAUGAUUAAGAAGGUGGUUUUCCCAGGGCAAGGCUUAUCCAUUGCACUCUGGAUGUGCUGAUCCCUACGAUUUCCCCAAAUUCGGGGAAACUCGACUGCAUAAUUUGUGGUGGGGAGGGAUUGCGUUCGCACUCUCCCCUG